Taeniopygia guttata (zebra finch) is the source of this 3649-nucleotide long non-coding RNA. Lineage: Eukaryota; Metazoa; Chordata; Aves; Passeriformes; Estrildidae. The record is from Ensembl.
UUUUGGUUAUUUACAUUGUUUAUUUGAAAGGCAGGGAAAACCACAGAAGCAUGGUCAUUUCCCUCAUGAAAAUCCCUCUUUAAAUUAAAAUCCUUUGAAGUUUCUGUGUGUAAAAUUGUAGUGAUAUAAACUGCAAGUUGGAAAAUAAGAAAAUGGACAAAUAAGAAAAUCUUUGUUAGGUAUUAUCCCUGAAAAUGCACUGCACUGUGAAGCUUCCUUAUGAUUGUCCCAGACAGCCAAAAGCUGGGGUUGCAGAUGCAGGUUCAAUUAGUCACUGUGUUAUAAUUUGGAAAUUCUUUAGAAGGAAACUCUGAACACUCUGGGAAACCCUCAAAGCAACUUGUAUUAAAGAAGUUUUCAAUAAUUAGAUCAUUUGAUGUCUGUAAGUAAGGCUUUGUGACAUAGGGGGUGAAAAUGCACUAGAACUUUCAAUGAGUAAGUAGUCUUUUUUAUGUCUCAGGAAUGGCAUUUCUUUCCCAUCAACAUGAAUACAGGGAAGAAAAUAUUUUUCUGGCUGAGCAUCACACACGUGUUUUAGCCAAUGAGUUUCCUUCUAAGAGAUUUUGAGGGACUUACAACUGGCUUUUGUCCUCACUGCCUUUACUUAUGUGGGUGUAAACAUGUUGUUACUGCAUAAAAGGGAAUGUGAAUGUUACCUUAUAUUUGCUAGUCCCAUGACUGUCUAUAUGAUCUUGUGUUUGGUUUUUUGAUGCCACUGUGAGAAUGAGGCAUUUUUCUGAAGAGAAGAGUAAACAUACUUAUUUAAUUUUCAUGUGAAAACUGGAUAUUCAUCAAAAUAUUUUAUGUUUUGAUGCUUCUAUAUUCCUCCAAAAAAUUACACUAAAAGCUAUCACAAAAGGGAAAAAGAAAAUUUUACACUUGGCCUGUCCUGGAAAUCUGUAGACUGAUACUUUUUUCAAAAUGAAAUGGUAAUUGGAGCUGACACAUUUCACUUCCAAUGAAAUAGCAUUUCCUGAUACUGCACUGGAAGGCUCUAACCAGUACUAAUUGGGAAGCUCAUUUUGCAUGCAUGGGCAGGACACAGGCUUCACUGGAUGAAAUCACUGACCUGUGCUUUACUAGGAGUCAGACAUGAUCAGUGAUCCUGGUUAUAAAGUCUAUGAAAGAUGAUGAAUAAUGCCUUUCUUUUGAAUCAGUGAUAAUUUUUAAAAAAUAAUUCAGUCUUUGCAAAUUGUUUUCAGUCUUUACACAGAAAUUAAUGUUUUAUAGUCGCUUUCUGCUCUCUGUCCAUGUUGGGAAUCACGAGUCUCUGGGAGGCAGGUUGAGGAGGUUUCUUGAAAUGAGAUACAAGCCACUCUGGCUCCUUUGCAAAGAGGUGAAGAUGUUAAAAAGCAUGAUAGGUGUGGUAGUCAUGUGUGCCUCUAGGAGGGGAAGGGGCAGAGAAUAAGAGCAAGCUGCCCUGCUAGGCACUGGAUUGCUGUAAUCUCUGCAGAAUCUGGCCAAGUGUUACAGCUGCUAGGCAGGAGAUUUGCUCUUGCAUCCUACACUGACCAUGUGAAGGCUACUGGUGAUAAUUGCAGUGGAAAUAAUUAGGUUUUUCCUUUAAGAUUCUGCACAAAACUAGCUUAUGUUUGUGAGUUGGUGAUGGGAAGGAUUUCAAGUGCAGUUUCUCUGCAGUGAGUUGCCAUUUAGAGAGCACAGUGUGGGCUCUGGUUGGGAUUUUGUCAUGGGUGCUAAAAUUGCUGCAGGCUGUGCAAGGAAGACAGUUCACUGCUGUGGCCUUAAGUGGGGAGGAGCUCUGUGCUCCUCAGCUAUUCUCACAGUCACUCCUAUAUAGAGGAGGAAAACAUUUUUCAUAAUUUCACUAAAAGGUGGCUAAACUGACUAAACUCCAGAUCCAUGAAGAUUCAGAGCACCAAGCUCCCACCAAAACUGGAUGGGCUGGUCAGGCAUCUAUAAUGCUAUGAGGAGGUCAGCAAUAAGCAACAUGCUGAGAGGUAGUCUGUGAUGGAGCAGGACACUGAUCUAACAUAUCCUCAUCCUUACUUUAGUCUUCUCACUGGCUACAAUGGAAAUUGCUCUCCCAAACAAUUCCUGGACUGUUAAACUGCUUGAGCAUCUGAACUGGGUUGAACAUAUGUAUUAAUGACUCAUCUUCUGAUCUGUUCCUGAAGAAGCAGGAACUUUCCAGCACUCUCCAUUGGUCGAUUGGUUGCCUGACAGGGUCACCACUCUACACUGGGAAGAGCAGAAAAGCAGGGUAGAAAAUUCCAGCAACCCAUGUUUCCAUUUUAUUGGGAAAUUUGACCUUCACACUUCUUUUGGCAUCUAGUACCACCGUUUCUUUUCAUGCUUUAACUUGAGGCUAGAUUCUCAGCACAGUCCAGCUGAAGGGAAACAGCUGUUGGCUGAAGUCCUCUGGAAAGCACUCCCUUGAGCUCAAAUCUGACCAUUCUUGGCACGAGCUCCUGCAGACAACAGGUGACUCAUUUCGGUCUGGAAAGCGCAGCCGUAUCCUCCGCUGUCUCGUCAAUACUAUAGGCAAUUCAUAGAGCAAUUCCAGCUUUGCCUCCUCUCCUGCUAAUUGAAGAGAAGCUCCGUGCUUACCCUCUGCAAGACAGCCAAACCAAUCUGGAAUACACAUUAGAUCCAGAUUAUCCUUUUACUCUUUGGUUUAAAGUAACACACAAACAGCAAAUGAGCAAGGCCUCCCUGCCAAGAGAUUCAGUGUGUGAGUGAUGGCCACUUUAAAGGGAUACUGAAAUUAAUUAAUAGAUUAAAAUAUCACCACUGAGCAAGACUCCUUUUGGGUGAUUGUUGUAAUGCUCAAUAGAUUUGCAGUUCAGAAGUAUUGAGGAAAUUCAGAACCCACCUGAAACACUAAGGAAAUAGUGAAGAAGGCUUGAGGUGGGGUUUUUUGUAUCCCCAAUUGACCUAACUCCCACACUAGCUAUGUCUGACACUGGAGGCAAGAAGGACAAGCAUUUAUGUAUCCUGAUUUAUAACAGUGUUUUCCAAAGUGGCUUACUGAAAUUGUAAACAAUGUGUUCACACAGUAAGAGGGAGGAAAUGCCAAUAUAUUAAAAUCAGUGGGCCAAAUUGUAUGCUAUCCUGAGAGUACUUUUGGCCAGAGGAUGGAAGUGACCUGCGUUUGGCUGAACGGGAAUUGAUUCUCCUCCCUUGCUAUUUAUGCCAGCACAAAUGUGCAGCACAUUUGACGUCAGUGCACAGAGAACGGGCACGAGUACAAGGGCAAUUGGGCCCUUAAGGUUCUUGUUUGAUCACCCAUUGAGGCAAGGGGAAGCUGCACCUACGAGGUGCUUCGCCUCCUAAAACUUCUGCAGAAACUCCAUGUGGGGUCUCAGGUGCCCAUGACAGCACAGUCUUGAAAGGAGGGAGGAGAGAGUGAGGAAACUUGUCUCAGGCCUAUUUUGAAUAAAAGUCACCAUUGAACAUGAGCUGAGUUUGCCCCCAAAAAGUUCCUCUUUUCAUGGCAUUUUUCAGUUGGAAGAGUCAGAUUGAGUAUUUGGAUUGGCUUUUUGCCUUGGCUGUGUAAAUUCUCAGGGGUGGAGAAAAUGGUACUAAGCUAGUAAAUAUCCAAGAACUGGAAGAAAGUAGGUUGAAUUGUCAAAAUCUUUUUAAUCUCUUCUGAAAAAUAUUUCCUCUAGGAACACUUUCCCAUUUGGAA